This 1163-nucleotide ribosomal RNA is filed under the name human gut metagenome. Its description in RNAcentral is "bacterial LSU rRNA". It matches the Rfam family "Bacterial large subunit ribosomal RNA", at positions 806 to 1983 of the family's 2925-position model. The record is from RNAcentral.
GAGGUGUGGAUAGGGGAGAAAUUCCAAUCGAACCCGGAGAUAGCUGGUUCUCCUCGAAAUAGCUUUAGGGCUAGCCUUCAGUUAGUCUGCCGCAGGUAGAGCACUGAAUUUCCUAGGGGGCGUCAAAGCCUACCGAAGAAUAUCAAACUGCGAAUGGCGGACAGAUGAUGCUGGGGAGUCAGACUGCACGAGAUAAGUUGGGUGGUCAAAAGGGAAAGAGCCCAGACCUACAGCUAAGGUCCCAAAGUGCGUGUUAAGUGGAAAAGGAUGUGGGAUUUCGAAGACAACUAGGAUGUUGGCUCAGAAGCAGCCACACAUUAAAAGAGUGCGUAAUAGCUCACUAGUCGAGAGGUCCUGCGCCGAAAAUGUCCGGGGCUGAAACACGACACCGAAGCUUAGGAACAAAGAAACCAAGGUUUCUAUAUGUUGGUAGAGGAGCAUUGUUAGCGGAACGAAGCCAUACCGGAAGGAGUGGUGGACUGCUAAGAAGAGAGAAUGCCGGAAUGAGUAGCGAGAUUGAAGUGAGAAUCUUCAAGGCCGAAUAUCUAAGGUUUCCAGGGUAAAGCUGAUCUGCCCUGGGUAAGUCGGGGCCUAAGGCGAGGUCGAAAGACGUAGCCGAUGGACAACAGGUUGAAAUUCCUGUACUGCGAUAUAUCAGAAAUGUGGGGACACAGAAGGAAAGUGUGAGCCGGGAAAGGAAAGACCGGUGCAAGCACAGGAGGAGAGAUACAGGCAAAUCCGUAUUUCAAUCCAAUGGUGUUACGCGGAGCGAACAAAAGUAGCGAAGCACACAGACCAUCUGUCGAGAAAAGCCGCUAUUGUGUAUACCGUACCCGUACCGUAAACCGACACAGGUGGAUGAGGAGAGAAUCCUAAGGCCGGCGGGAGAAGCAUUGUUAAGGAACUCGGCAAAAUGACCCCGUAACUUCGGGAGAAGGGGUGCUCACGCAAGUGAGCCGCAGAGAACUGGCCCAAGCAACUGUUUAGCAAAAACACAGGUCUAUGCAAAACCGAAAGGUGAGGUAUAUGGGCUGACGCCUGCCCGGUGCUGGAAGGUUAAGAGGAGAUGUUAGAGCAAUCGAAGCAUUGAAUUUAAGCCCCAGUAAACGGCGGCCGUAACUAUAACGGUCCUAAGGUAGCGAAAUUCCUUGUCGGGUAAGUUC